AGUGAACGCUGGCGGUAGGCCUAACACAUGCAAGUCGAACGGCAGCACAGUAAGAGCUUGCUCUUACGGGUGGCGAGUGUCGGACGGGUGAGGAAUACAUCGGAAUCUACUUUUUCGUGGGGGAUAAUGUAGGGAAACUUACGCUAAUCCCGCAUACGACCUCCGUGUGAAAGCAGGGGAUCUUCUGACCUUGCGCUAUUGAAUGAGCCGAUGUCGGCUUCGCUCGUUGGCGGGGUAAAGGCACACAAAGGCGACGAUCCGUAGCUGGUCUGAGAGGAUGGUCAGCUACAUGGGAAGUGAGAAAGGGCAGAGACUCCUACGGGAGGCAGCAGUCGGGAAUACUGGACAAUGGACGAGAGCCUGAUCCAGGCAUACCGCGUGGAUGAAGAAGGCCUUCGGGUUGUAAAGCCCUUUUGUUGGGAAAGAAAAACAGCAGGUUAAUACCCCGCUGUUCUGACGGUACCCAAAGAAUAAGCACCGGCUAACUUCGUG
RNAcentral lists this ribosomal RNA (492 nucleotides) under uncultured bacterium. RNAcentral describes it as "partial 16S ribosomal RNA". It matches the Rfam family "Bacterial small subunit ribosomal RNA", at positions 29 to 507 of the family's 1533-position model. The record is from RNAcentral.